GAUGAAGAACGUAGUGAAAUGCGAUACGUAAUGUGAAUUGCAGAAUUCAGUGAAUCAUCGAAUCUUUGAACGCACAUUGCGCCCGCUAGUAUUCUGGCGGGCAUGCCUGUUCGAGCGUCAUUUCAACCAUCAAGCCCUAGGCUUGCGUUGGAGCCCUGCGGCUGCCGCAGGCUCCCAAAUCCAGUGGCGGGCUCGUCGUCGUACCGAGUGCAGUAAACAUCCUCGCUCAGGGAACGUGACGGGUUCUUGCCGUGAAACCCCCCACAUAUCAAGGUUGACCUCGGAUCAGGUAGGAAUACCCGCUGAACUUAAGCAUAUCAAUAAGCGGAGGA
This 332-nucleotide unclassified non-coding RNA is filed under the name soil metagenome. Its description in RNAcentral is "partial contains 5.8S ribosomal RNA, internal transcribed spacer 2, and large subunit ribosomal RNA". The stretch from base 1 to 120 matches the Rfam family "5.8S ribosomal RNA", at positions 35 to 154 of the family's 154-position model. The record is from RNAcentral.